GUUCGGCAUGGUGAUCGGCUUGGCCCGCGACACCUGCAGGGUGACGGUGCUGCCCUUGUCGGCGUUCGACCCGCCGGUCGGGUUC
This 85-nucleotide transfer RNA is filed under the name Tsukamurella sp. PLM1. RNAcentral's name for it is "tRNA-Cys". Lineage: Bacteria; Bacillati; Actinomycetota; Actinomycetes; Mycobacteriales; Tsukamurellaceae. The record is from RNAcentral.